UACAGGGGGGGCAAGCGUUGUUCGGAAUUACUGGGCGUAAAGGGUUCGUAGGUGGCUACCUAAGUCAGACGUGAAAUCCCUCAGCUUAACUGGGGAACUGCGUCUGAUACUGGGUGGCUUGAGUGCAGGAGAGGAACGCAGAAUUCCAGGUGUAGCGGUGAAAUGCGUAGAUAUCUGGAGGAACACCGGUGGCGAAGGCGGCGUUCUGGACUGUAACUGACACUGAUGAACGAAAGCCAGGGGAGCAAACGGG
This 253-nucleotide ribosomal RNA is filed under the name uncultured bacterium. RNAcentral describes it as "partial 16S ribosomal RNA". It matches the Rfam family "Bacterial small subunit ribosomal RNA", at positions 524 to 776 of the family's 1533-position model. The record is from RNAcentral.